Molecule: ribosomal RNA, 288 nt
Filed under: Triticum aestivum (bread wheat)
Lineage: Eukaryota; Viridiplantae; Streptophyta; Magnoliopsida; Poales; Poaceae
Description: partial small subunit ribosomal RNA
Source: RNAcentral
AUGCACGUGCAACUGGAGACCGACUGUUUUGAGGUAGUAAACCUCUGGAACUCUAGCUACACUAAUCGUUUGGUAGUAGCACCGAUUCUUUCUGAAAUUAGAGAGCUCUCUGCUAGCUUUUUGUCCUUUGUUAUCUCUCAUAUAAUAAGAGCUGCUAAUGGUCCUGCACAUCUGUGUUCUAAGCGUGCUUGUACACUUAAUGUGACCGAAAGCUGGCUAGACUCCACUCGUAGCUUCCUGGUCAGUAGCCUCUUGGCUGACUGUCCAGCGAAUGCCUUUAUUCAAUAA